This is a non-coding RNA of Lactuca sativa (garden lettuce), 1597 nucleotides long. The record is from RefSeq and is a predicted model, not a curated record. Lineage: Eukaryota; Viridiplantae; Streptophyta; Magnoliopsida; Asterales; Asteraceae.
GGAUUCAAACAUGUAUAUAACAUGGGAGGGGGAUAUCUUGCGUGGGUAGAGAAUGGUCUACCUGUGGCUGUGGUGACACCCAAAGUGGAGCUCUAAGUCCUUUUGCAUGAUGAUACAAAGUGUUAUUGUAUAAAAAUUUUUUGAAGAAAAUGGAGAAUUAUGUCAACAAUCCCGCAAAUAUGCAUGAUUUUAGUUUAAUGAAUACGAAAGUCUUUGCGAACCUAAAAGGCUCUGGCGGUAACAUAUGGGAAGUCUUUGAAGUUUUAGAUGAUGCCCGACGUGCUAUUUUCAGAAAUACCGUCUUUGGCUAUUUUAUUGAUGUCCCUCGUUUACAAGGGGACGCUUUAUUGUUUCAUAAAAUGUUCCUUCAUCAGAUCCGGCCGGACCCUGUUUUAUCUCCAGAUGGAAUAAAACGUUUAUAUUUUCGAGUAGGCAAUACCAAAAUGGUUUAUGGGCCGGAAGAGUUUUGUUUGUUUACCGGCUUCAAUUUUGGGGAGUAUCCAAAAAACAUUGGGAGAAAAGGGUCGGAAAAAUUAAUAAGCAGUAAAAAAAGAUGUUUACUGCGUGAACGGCUAUUUCCGGACCAUACUAAUAGUUCGGUGAAAAUCGGCGACCUGAAAAGUUUAAUUUUAAAUCAAACAUUCCUAGCACUUGACGACCUUGAUGCAGUUAGAGUAUGUUUGAUAUACAUUUUGUGUGAAGGUUUUUUGGGCAAAGAAGUAAACGAUCGGGUGCCACAAGAUUGGUUUUUUUUGGCUGAGAAUUUGGAUCUCUGGAAUAGCUUCUCUUGGGGUAGCUAUCUAUGGGAUUUUACUUUUGUUGACCUUGAGGAUACGUGGAAUAAGAUACAUCAUUAUUUAUCACUUCCUCAGCGUGGUCAAACUUUAAAGUAUUCCGUCUCAGGAUUUACGACUCCAAUUAGGAUAUGGAUAUAUGAGAUGAUUCCGGCUGUUCGUGCAUGUGGAUUUGCAUUGAGAAAAAAUAAAGACUUGCCUCGGAUGAAAAGAUGGAGCGGAACAAAAAAAUUGAAAUGGGUUGACGUGAACAAGAUUUGGUCAAAGAUGCAGGAGGGGCUACCACCAAGACAAAACAUGUUACCGGGUGAUGGUGAGAUGACAUCUUUUUAUUAUAUGUCAUUUCAAGAGUAUGUAUAUGGUGAAGGGAAAGCAGUUCCAUCCCCAGUACGGGACCAUUUUAGGAGACAAGACGAAUCUUCGUCUAGUAUGUCGUCCAGUGGUCGCUCUCAUGGUAGAGGUCGGGGCAGUGGGAAACACAAGCUAGACGAGUUGUUGAAACGGGUACAUGCACUGGAGCAGCAUGUGUUUAUGAAUCAACAAAAACCUACAGAGGUUUUUGUUGAAGAAGUGAUGAACAAUUUUGGAACGACAUUAUUUUUGAGGAACCGACAGUGUCACAAAGAAAUUAUGAUGAACAGGUUGUGCAAGAUGAAAUGAUGAAUAAAAACAAUACAACUCAAAAUGUUUUUGGUGAUACUCAAGACGACAAGGUGUUGGAGGAGAGUACUCAGUAUGCGGGGAACAAAUUUGAUGAUGAUGUGUGUGAUGUAAACGAUUAUAGUGAAAUUAAAGAGGUUAUU